AUGGACAUCGGUGCUACGGCUCACAUGUUUGCUCAUCCUGAUAAUCUUGUCUCCUUCACUCUUGUCACCACCGACCGCCGUAUCAUUGCCGGCGACGGUUCCACUCUACCUACCACACAUGUCGGGCACACCUCUUUUCCUUCUAGUUCCAUGCCUAUUACUUUGUCUAACAUACUUGUGUCACCUCAUCUUAUUAAAAAUCCCGUUUCCGUUCGUUGUUUAACUCGUGAAAAUCCUAUUACUGUUGAAUUUGACGAGCUUGAUUUUUGUGUCAAGGACGCUCAAACCAGGAUGGUACUUCACCGUUGUGACAGCCUCGACGAGCUCUAUCCGGUGCAUCCGCCGUCCACCUCCACCAUCGCACCGUUGCUCCCUCCGCCGGCGUCGAUCUCUGGCACGCUCGUUUGGGUCAUCACAACCCCGUCAGACUUCGUCAUAUUCUUAGCAGUUUCAGUUUCUGUUGUAAUAAGAUAG
RNAcentral lists this ribosomal RNA (474 nucleotides) under Triticum aestivum (bread wheat). RNAcentral's name for it is "partial small subunit ribosomal RNA". The record is from RNAcentral. Lineage: Eukaryota; Viridiplantae; Streptophyta; Magnoliopsida; Poales; Poaceae.